RNAcentral lists this non-coding RNA (48 nucleotides) under Schistosoma mattheei. Lineage: Eukaryota; Metazoa; Platyhelminthes; Trematoda; Strigeidida; Schistosomatidae. The record is from RNAcentral.
AUCCUGAUGACGAGUCCCAAAUAGGACGAAAUGUGCGUAAAACUAGAU